UAGAGGUGGUGCAUGGCCGUCGUCAGUUCGUACCGUAAGGCGUUCUGUUAAGUCAGAUAACGAACGAGACCCUCGCCCUUAAUUGCCAACCCAUUCUUCGGAGUGGGCGCACAUUAAGGGGGACCGCUGGCGCUAAGUCAGAGGAAGGAGAGGUCAACGGUAGGUCAGUAUGCCCCGAAUCUCCCGGGCUACACGCGCGCUACAAAGGAUAGGACAAUGGGAUGCAAUACCGAGAGGUAACGCGAACCCCGAAACCUAUUCGUAGUUCGAACUGAGGGCUGUAACUCGCCCUCACGAAGCUGGAUUCCGUAGUAAUCGCGGGUCAACAUCCCGCGGUGAAUAUGCCCCUGCUCUUU
RNAcentral lists this ribosomal RNA (356 nucleotides) under uncultured Thermoplasmatales archaeon. RNAcentral's name for it is "bacterial SSU rRNA". It matches the Rfam family "Archaeal small subunit ribosomal RNA", at positions 982 to 1338 of the family's 1478-position model. The record is from RNAcentral. Lineage: Archaea; Methanobacteriati; Thermoplasmatota; Thermoplasmata; Thermoplasmatales.